AGCGGGGUGGGCUAGCCUGGUAAGGCCGCGGGGCUCAUAUAACCCCGAGGUCCCUGGUUCAAAUCCAGGCCCCGCUACCA
Molecule: transfer RNA, 80 nt
Filed under: Saccharolobus islandicus LAL14/1
Lineage: Archaea; Thermoproteati; Thermoproteota; Thermoprotei; Sulfolobales; Sulfolobaceae
Description: Sulfolobus islandicus LAL14/1 tRNA-Met
Rfam family: tRNA
About the family: Transfer RNA (tRNA) molecules are approximately 80 nucleotides in length.
Source: RNAcentral